RNAcentral lists this ribosomal RNA (31 nucleotides) under Peltigera continentalis. RNAcentral's name for it is "partial 28S large subunit ribosomal RNA". RNAcentral also lists the same sequence under 2 other names. Lineage: Eukaryota; Fungi; Ascomycota; Lecanoromycetes; Peltigerales; Peltigeraceae. The record is from RNAcentral.
UUGACCUCGGAUCAGGUGAGGAUACCCGCUG